RNAcentral lists this ribosomal RNA (496 nucleotides) under uncultured bacterium. RNAcentral's name for it is "partial 16S ribosomal RNA". It matches the Rfam family "Bacterial small subunit ribosomal RNA", at positions 28 to 507 of the family's 1533-position model. The record is from RNAcentral.
GAUGAACGCUGGCGGCGUGCCUAAUACAUGCAAGUCGAGCGAACAGAUGAGGAGCUUGCUCCUCUGAUGUUAGCGGCGGACGGGUGAGUAACACGUGGAUAACCUACCUAUAAGACUGGGAUAACUUCGGGAAACCGGAGCUAAUACCGGAUAAUAUAUUGAACCGCAUGGUUCAAUAGUGAAAGACGGUUUUGCUGUCACUUAUAGAUGGAUCCGCGCCGCAUUAGCUAGUUGGUAAGGUAACGGCUUACCAAGGCAACGAUGCGUAGCCGACCUGAGAGGUGACUCGGCACACUGGAAACGGAGAACCGGCCCAGACCCCAACGGGAGGCAGCAGUAGGGAAUCUUCCGCAAUGGGCGAAAGCCUGACGGAGAAACGCCGCGUGAGUGAUGAAGGUUUUCGGAUCGUAAAACUUUGUUAUUAGGGAAGAAAAAAUGUGUAGUAACUAUGCACGUCUUGACGGUACCUAAUCAGAAAGCCACGGCUAACUACGUG